AGCGUUGUCCGGAAUCAUUGGGCGUAAAGAGCGUGUAGGUGGCUCGGUAAGUCCGCUGUGAAAGUCCAGGGCUCAACCCUGGAAUGCCGGUGGAAACUGUCGAGCUAGAGUCCGGAAGAGGCGAGUGGAAUUCCUGGUGUAGCGGUGAAAUGCGCAGAUAUCAGGAGGAACACCAAUGGCGAAGGCAGCUCGCUGGGACGGUACUGACACUGAGACGCGAAAGCGUGGGGAGCAAACAGG
RNAcentral lists this ribosomal RNA (240 nucleotides) under uncultured bacterium. RNAcentral describes it as "partial 16S ribosomal RNA". It matches the Rfam family "Bacterial small subunit ribosomal RNA", at positions 537 to 776 of the family's 1533-position model. The record is from RNAcentral.